AAAACUGCCUUAAAAACACUUUCUGGACAGUUUUGAACACAAACACAAAUUUGGACGAAAUUGGGUUACAACUUGAAUCGAAACACUUAAAAACACAAACUAAAUGGAUUUCUAACUAAUCUAACACUUUAAAAUAAAGGGGGAUUUGGUUUUGACGAAAUUAAAAACAAGACAAAACGUUGUAAUUAAAACAGAUUGUAAAACGAAUUAGGAGUUUAAAUGGAUGAUGGAUUAGUUAGAAGCUCUUUCUCCACACAUGACACGUAUGCAAACGACUCGAUUUCCAGUUAUUCCUUCAUAGAAUUUUGAAUGACAUUGCCCCAAAUUAACCGUGACAUCACUAGCUAACUCUCAGAUUUUCCUUGUAUUAUUGGAUUGGAUGGCAUCAUUCGACAACCCAAAGCAUUCUUCAAAGGUCCCCUACAUGACAUCAUAAUAGAGAUACGAUCAAAGAUCAUUACGUUCAAUGAAAACCAUAAGCAAUGACAAAGCACUUGCAACUAUGACAUCAUGUCACUCAUGCUAGGAAUUGAACUUAACGCGAUUGUGACUAGCAACCUUCACUACAUAUGAAUAUAAGUUUGUAACGAUUAUGUGAAACAUCCUUAUACUCUAGCAUCAGAUUUAUGCAUGCCAAUUAAGUGUCGACCCCUAAUUAACACACAAAUAAGUUAUUAAUCAAAUAGUUAAACCAAUUGCAUUCACGAUUCAAGAAUUCAUAACUGGAAUUUAUCAAAUCAAAUUGCACACAUAGUCAUGGCUUUGAAAUCACCCCUAACCAAUAGGGGUUUAGCCACUCAUGUUCAUAGCAAAACGAAAAGAAAAGAAAUUACACAUUGAAAUCAUAAAACGAAUUACACCUAGAAUGCACCAACAAUGAAGCUUGGACAUCCAAGGGUCCUUCCUUCUUCCUUCUUGCUGCGGCACACAAGUGGGUGAGUGUAUGGAUUGUGUUUAGGGUCAAAAGUUAUGGAGAUUGGUGAAUGAGGGGCACGGCAAAGGGAGGUUGGAUGGUUUCUGCGUGAAUGGGAGUGAAUGGUUGAUUUGUGGCUGCAAAAAGGAAGUUUAUAAAAAGGGAUUUCAGGAAUUAAACCCUAGGUUAUUUAGGUAAAUAGAAAUUAAGUCAAAAGCUUCUAGAAUUAGGGAAACAAAUCAGAAAUUUAAAGGAAAUAAGCUAAAAGGUGCGGCAUGGGAUUAAAACACAAAAGGAAUGUGUUUUAAUUCAGAAAAUAGGAAAGAAUCACUCUCCCUUGCACGGCAAGGAAGAGGAAAGGUCAGAAAUCCCUCACAAGGUGCGGCAUGGGUUUUAGGGAAGGUUAGAUGUCCUAAAACUGAAGGGGAAGUGGAUCCCUUGCACGGCAAGGAAGGUGGAAUAUGGGGUAAGUGCGGCAAAGGUCCCUAAGGGUUCUAGGGCCUUUGUUUUGUGUCCUCAAGUGCAUAUGAAGUCCUCAAAGUGGCUGGAACAUAAGUAUUUUUAGAAUUAGGAAAUGUCAAACCAAAAUAGGAAACCUUGGCUUAACUUUCCUACUUCAAGUAGGAAUCCUUGUUCUUCUAGAAAUCUUCAUGUGGUUAGGAAUCCAUCUUCAAUUAGGAAUCCUUCGUCAAUUAGGAAUCCUUCGUUGAUUAGGAAACCUAAUUUCUUCAAGUCUUCAAUUCAUCCAUUCCUUUUGCUCCAAAAGGCUCCAAAUUACAUCAUUUUGUACACUUUGGCCUUAGAAUCUGAAAACACACAAAAGUGACUUUAAACACUAAAAUAACUAAAGAAACACAACGUAAAAGCACGAGAACAAGCCAAGUAAGUAUCAUAAAUAUGCUCCUAUCAUAAUGCAAUUGGCUUAACUAUUUAAUUGAUAACUUAUUUGUAUUUGUUGAUUAAGUGUCGACACUUAAUUGGCAUGCAUAAAUCUGAUGCUAGAAUAUAAGAAAGUUUCACAUAAUCAUUACAAACUUAUAUUCAUAAGUAGUGGAGGUCGCUUAUAAACGAUCGCGUUAAGUUCAAUUCCUAGCAUGAGUGAAAUGAUGUCAUAGUUGCAAGUGCUUUGUCAAUGCUUAUGAUUUUCAUUAAACGUAAUGAUCUUUGAUUGUAUCUCUAUUAUCAUGUCAUGUAGGGAACUUUAGAAGAAAGUUUUGGGUUGUCGAAUGAUGUCAUCCAAUCCAAUAAAACAAGGAAAAUCUGAGAGUUAACUAGUGAUGUCAAGGUUAAUUUGGAGCAUUGUCGUUCAUAAUUCAAUGAAGUAGUAACGGGAAAUCGAGUUAUUUGCAUAUAUGUCAUGUGUGGAGAAAAGCCUUUAGCUAUCCCAUCCAUCAUCUUAUUUCUCAAAUUUGUUUUACAAUCUGUCUAGUUUUUCAUACUUGUUUGUUUGUUUCAACUUCAUCCAAAUCAAAACCCCCCUUUUAGUUUCUUGUUUCAAAGUGUUUCAAAUCUGUUUUAGUUUGUGUUUUUAAGUGUUUUGAUUCAAGUAAAAGUCAAUUUUCAUCCAAAGUCAUUCCUAGUGUCUAGUUUAAGUUUAUUUGGUUGUUUUAAGCUAUUUUGAGUAUUUUAAGUUUGUUUUGAGUCUUGUGAGUCUUGUUAAGUGUUUUUAAGUUUAGUUUUAUGUUUUUGAGUCAGUUUAGAGGUUAUUAGCAAGCCCUCCUAAUCCCCGGUCCAGAACGAUCCCUACUUAUACUUGUACUACAAUUGUCAAAAGAGGGUUAAAUUUGUGUGUUAAGAUAAUUUUCGCAUCAAUGAGCAUGAUACUCUUGCCAAGAAUUCACUUAACGCGAUCGUUUAUAAGCGACCUCCACUACUUGUAAAUAUAAGUUUGUAACUAUUAAGGUGAAACUCCCUUAUAUUUUAGCUUCAAAUCCUUGCAUGAAAACUAAGUGUGCACUCUUAAUAAACAUACAAGAAUAAGUUAUCAAUCAAACGGUUAAGCAAAUUGAAUUCACAACUUAUGAAAUAACAAUCGAACGUAAUCAAUUCAUUACGCAAGUAUAAUCAUGGUUUUGAAUAGCCCCCUAGCCAAGAAGGGCUUAGUUCCUCAUAAUCGUAAAACAAAGAUAAGCAAAUUUAUACAUUAGAAACAAAAGAAAGAAAACACUAAAAUGCUCCAAUGAUCCAAAUUGGACAGCAUGCACAUCCAGGCAAUUUCCUUCCUUUCCUUUGCUGCGACACAAGGUGUGAUGGUGAGUUUUGGGGGUUAUGGAUAGUGUAGAAGGAUGGGUUUAUGGUUAGGAUAGAUGUAUGGUGCGGCAAAGGUUUGUUGUGGUCAGGAAUUAUGAAGAAUGGUGAAGGAUGGGUACGGCAGAGAGUGAGAGAUGAUUUCUGGCGUGAAUGGGUGAGUGAAUGGAUGGAUUUAGAGAGGGUGAGUGUAGAAUGGUGAAAAUGGUCCCCAACAGAUGCGGCUAAGGUCUGUAUUGAAAAGCUUUUAGGAAAAUAAAGCUAAGAAAUAAAAUAGGUAACAGAAAUUAAACCAAAACUUAAAAAGAAAUAGGAAUUAAAGUCAAAAUCCUAAGGAAAAGGUAAGGGGAUAUGCGGCAAUGAAGAAUAGGAAAGGAGAAUCCAUUGCCAUGCAAGGGAAAGGAAAAAGGAAAGGGAAAAGGGUGCGGCAUAGGGUUUUAGGACUUCUAGAAGUUCUUAUUUAGAGUCUUAAUGUGAUUAGGAGUCUUCUUUGUUGCUGGAACUUAGGGACUUUUAGGAUUAGUAAAGAUUAAACCAAAGUAGGAAACCUUGGCUUAACAUUCCUUCUUCUUGUAGGAAACCUUGUAUGAGUAGGAAUCCUCAUUCUUCUAGGAAUCCAUCUUCAAUUAGGAAUCCUUGCAUCUUUAGGUCUUCAAUUUUGUCCAUCUCCCUUGCUCCAAGCAUAUGAUAUUCAUUUCAUGCCCAAAACUGCUCCAAAAAGCACUUCUUUGCUUCUUCAAUCUCAAUUAGCUAAUCUUCCUUCCAUUGUAUCUCAGAUGGCCGAAGGAAUGAGGAUGCAAAGACCAAUUGUGUGUGGCGUGUGUUCUAUCCAAGGAUACUCCUCUGAAAAGUGCCCUUAAUUAAUUGAGAAUAGUGGAUGGGAAAACGCUAUGUUAUUGGAUUUCAAGGCCAAAACCAGCCAAGGAACGAUCCAUACUCGAACACAUAUAAUCCAGGUUGGAGAGACCAUCCAAAUUUCAAGUUGUGGGAGCCCUAACAAACCCAACAACAAGGAGGCUUUAGUCAGCAACCCCCGGGCUUCUACACAAAGCCAUACGAACCUACACAAGCCCCACAACAAUCUGCCCCAAACACUUCAGGUACUUCUUUGGAUAAUGACACACUUACUAAGUUAUUCACCAAUUUGUCUCAGGGCAAGAAAAUCAAACCAAAGCAAUGUAAAACCAAGACAAAAGGGUGGAUCAAUUGGAGAAGCAAAUUGGGUAGAUUGCCGAGUUUGUAGGGCAGUUUUGAGACUAAGGAAAACUUCCUAGUUCAACCAUUGCAAAUCCAAAGGAAAGUUUUGAAAUGGCCAAGGUAAUCAUCUUAAGAAUUGGCAAGGAAGUCGGGGCAGGUUCACAACCAUCAAAAUCAGUUCACAAGGAAGAUGAAAGAUUGCAAAUUGAAGAGAGGGAAUACACUCAACCCAUGGCAAGGGUGGAAACAUCUUUGCCGCAGGUCCCAAAUGCUCCUAAACCAUCAAAUAUGUCCAAUAAAGGUAAGAAUGUGUCAAAUUCAAAUCCUACUAACGUUAUUCCAUCGAAUGUACCUUUUCCUCAUAGGUUCAUGCAAACAAAGAAAGAGGAAGCUGAAAAGGACAUUCUGGAGACAUUUAGGAAAGUUCAAGUCAACAUUCCACUCCUUGAUGCAAUCAAGCAAGUGCCAAGGUAUGCUAAGUUUUUUAAAGAACUUUAUACAACUAGGAAGAGAAUUUCGAACAAGGAGGUUGUAAAGGUAAGUGAAAAUGUCUUAGCCAUCUUACAACGUAAAAUGCCCCCUAAAUGCAAGGAUCCGGGUAGUUUUACAAUUCCUUGUAUUAUUGACAAUAAUCGUUUUGAAAAUGCUAUGCUAGACUUAGGUUUAUCUAUUAAUGUCAUGCCUUACUCAGUUUAUGCAUCUAUGAACCUAGGUGAGUUAAAAAAUGAUGGUGUGAUUAUUGAAUUGGCCAAUAGAUCUAACGCCUAUCCAAAAGGAGUUUUGGAAGAUAUUUGGUGCAGGUCAAUCAAUUAAUCUUUCCGGCGGACUUCUACGUACUUGACAUGGAAGGCUCGGACCGUUCUCCUACAUUGCCAAUCCUCCUUGGAAGGCCAUUCAUGAAAACUGCCCACACCAAGAUCGAUGUGUUUAAAGGAACAUUGACAAUGGAAUUUGAUAGGGAAGUUAUUGAUUUCAAUAUUUCUGAAGCAAUGAGAUUUCCUAGUGAUGAUCAUUCUUGUUUUUCUAUUGAUAUAAUUUAUUCUUUGGCACAGGGAUAUCUUGAAGACUUGAAUGACGAUGCACUUGAAACAGUCAUUACAAGUGGAAUGAAACUCAACAACAAAGGGGCAGAACCUAUGCUAACCCAUGGCCUACAUGAAGAAUUCCAUGUCGUGCCCCCUUGUGAGGAAUUAAUUGAGAUGGUUGCUUCCCUUGAAUCAUUGCCAAAGCAUGAUGGUAAGCCUUCUAACUUCGAGUCAAUUCCUGUUUCGACUAAUGAAAUGCUUCCUUCAGUAAUUCAGGCACUUAACCUUGAACUUAAACCAUUACCAAGCCAUUUGAACAUGCCCCGUCAUUGUCUUUUCCUCCCUCACGGCACAAGAAGAAGAGAAGUUAGUGCGUGUCUUGAAUGAGUUCAAAUCUGCCAUAGGUUGGACCUUGACCGACAUCAAGAGGAUAAGCCCUACCACUUGCAUGCAUCACAUAUUUCUUGAGGAGGGGGCCAAACCAACUAGAGAGGCUCAAUGCCGUCUUAACCCUCCGAUGAUGGAAGUUGUGAAAAAAGAGAUUAUCAAGUUACUUGAUUGUGGAGUGAUCUAUCCAAUCUCUAAUAGCCAUUGGGUUUCACCAAUUCAAGUCGUUCCAAAGAAGUCUGGAAUCACAGUAGUGAAGAAUGAAGAGAACGAACUUGUGCCCACCUGUAUCCUAACCAGUUGGAGAGUUUGCAUAGACUAUAGGAAAUUCAAUGCCACAACAAGGAAUGACCAUUUCCCACUGCAAUUCAUUGAUCAAAUGCUUGAAAGCUUAGCGGGUCAUUCAUUUUAUUAUUUUCUUGAUGGAUAUUCUAGUUACAAUCAAAUUGUCAUAGCCCCAAACAAUCAAGAAAAGACCACUUUCACUUGUCCUUUCGGAACGUUUGCUUAUUUUCAUAUGCCAUUUGGUUUAUGCAAUGCACUUGCCACAUUCCACAGAUGCAUGGUAAGUAUUUUUUCCAAUUAUGUUGAAAAGAUCAUUGAAGUCUUUAUGGAUGAUUUCAGCGUAUUUGGUGAUUCAUUUGGUGAUUGUUUGGCCAAUUUGACUUUAAUCUUGAAAAGAUGUAUUGAAAGUAACCUUGUGUUAAAUUGGGAGAAAUGUCAUUUCAUGGUUAAACAAGGUAUAGUUUUGGGCCAUAUAAUCUUUGAACGUGGAAUUGAGGUGGAUAAAUCAAAAGUAGAUCUUAUACGUCACUUACUGAUGCGUAAAAUAACUAAACACACAAAUUAACCCUCUUGUUGACAAUUGUAGUAUGGAUAAGUAGGGAUCGUUCUUAAAUCGGGGAUUAGGAGGGAUUGCUAAAACACUCUAAACUGACUCAAAUAUGUAAAACAAAGUUUAAAACACUAAACUAGACUCAAAGAAUGCAAAACUAAACUCUAAAACAUUAAAACAAACCAAAAGACUCAAAACAGCAAACAAACACUCAAAACUGCCUUAAAAACACUUUCUGGGCAGUUUUGGGACUCUAACACAAACUUGGACGAAAUUUGAUUUUCUAAUGAUCUAAAACACUUAAAAACAUAUUCUAAGACAAGUUCUAAUUAAUAUGACUCAAAGAAAUAAGGUGGGGUUGAUUUUGGAUGAAAAUAAAUAAAACAAAGCAAGAACAAUGUAAACAGAUUCUUAGACAAAAUUAAGUGAAUUGAUGAGAUAUGGGGUAACUAGAGGGUUCUUCUCCACACAUGAUACACUUGCAUUCAACUUUGAUUUCCAAUUGCUUCUUUCAAUAAACUAUGAAUCUCAACGCCCUAGGUUAACUGUGAUAGCACUUUUUUAACCUUCAAGUUUUCCUAAAGUUAGUGAAUUGGAUGGGAAUGCACAUGCAACAACUCAAAACAUUCUCUAAAAGUCCCUUACGUGAAAAGCACAAUAAAGGUACAAUCAAAGAUCAUUAAGCUUCAUGAAAACUAUAAGCAUUGACGAGGCAAUUGUUACUAUGAAAAGCAUGAAACGUUUGCCAAGAAUUCACUUAACACGAUCGUUUAUAAGCGACCUCCACUACUUGCAAAUAUAAGGUUGUAACUAUUAGGUGAAACUUCCUUAUAUUUUAGCUUCAAAUUCCUGCAUGAAAACUAAAUUGGCCACCUUAAUCAACACACAAAAAUAAGUCAUCAAUCAAACGGUUAAGCAAAUUGCAUUCACAAUUCAUGAAAUAACAAUUAGACGUAAUCAAUUCAUCUUGCAAGCAUAAUCAUGGUAUUGAAUAACGCCCUAGCCAAAAAGGCUUAGUUCCUCAUGUUCACAAAACAAAGGAAAACAGAUUUAUACAUUGUAAAUAUAAGAAAGAAAACACCUAAAUAUUCCAAUGAUUCGAUGUUGAACAGCUAGAACCUUCAAGCACUUCUUCUUCCUCUCCUUUGCUGCGGCAUAAGGGUUGGGGGUGAGUUUAGGGAGUUAUGGAUGAUGUAGAAUGAUGGGUUUAUGUUUAGGAUAGGUGUAGGGGUCGGCUAGGUAUGUUUCUGGGCAGAAAAUAGGGUGAAUGGUGGUAGAAUGGUGCGGCUAAGAGUGGAAUGGAGGUUUUUGGCGUGAAUGGUCAGUAUCUGGAUGAUUUGUGGCUGCACAAAGGGAGUUUAUUUUAAAGGAUUUCAGGAAUUAAAACCCUAGGUUAUUUAGGUAAUCAGAAAUUAAGUCUAAGGCUUCUAGAAAUAGGAAACACAAUCAGAAAAUGAAAGGAAAAGGCAAGGGGAUAUGCGGCAAGGUCCUAAAACACAUUAGGAAUGUGUUUUAAAGCAUAGAAUCAGGAAAUAACCCUCUCCCUUGCACGGCAAGGAAGAGGAAAUGUCAAGGGGGUGCGGCAAGGGUUCACAAUGUGCAAGAGAUGUGUAUUUGAUGUCCUAGAAUGCUUAGGAUGCCUUCAAAGUUGAUAAAACUUAGGAACAUUUAGGAAAGGUCAAACCAAAGUAGGAAACCUUGGCUUAACUUUCCUAUUUCAAGUAGGAAUCCUUGUUCUUCUAGGAAUCCUUAUGUGAAUAGGAAUCCAUCUUCAAUUAGGAAUCCUUUGUCAAUUAGGAAUCCUUCGUUCUUCAAAUCUUCAAUUACGUCCAUUCCUUGUGCUCCGAGCAUGUGAUAAUCAUUCCAAGCUCCAUUUUGCUCCAAAAGGCUCCAAAAUGCAACUUCUUGCAUACUUUGUC
Molecule: long non-coding RNA, 8523 nt
Filed under: Malus domestica (apple)
Lineage: Eukaryota; Viridiplantae; Streptophyta; Magnoliopsida; Rosales; Rosaceae
Description: long non-coding RNA (MDOM_LNC018980)
Source: RNAcentral